AACGUACGCUGGCGGCACGCCUAACACAUGCAAGUCGAACGAGAUAGCAAUAUCUAGUGGCAGACGGGUGCGUAACAUGUGGGAAUCUGCCUUUUGGGGGAAACCUGUGCUAAUACCGGAUAAGUCCUCACGGAGAAAGAUUUAUCGCCGAAAGAUGAGCCCGCACUUGAUUAGCUUGUUGGUAAGGUAAAAGCUUACCAAGGCUACGAUCAAUAGCUGAUUUGAGAGGAUGAUCAGCCACACUGGGACUGAGACACGGCCCAGACUCCUACGGGAGGCAGCAGUGGGGAAUCUUGCACAAUGGAGGAAACUCUGAUGCAGCGAUGCCGCGUGAGUGAAGAAGGCCCUUGGGUUGUAAAGCUCUUUUGUCGGGAAAGAUAAUGACUGUACCCGAAGAAUAAGGUCCGGCUAACUUCG
Molecule: ribosomal RNA, 417 nt
Filed under: uncultured Pelagibacteraceae bacterium
Lineage: Bacteria; Pseudomonadati; Pseudomonadota; Alphaproteobacteria; Candidatus Pelagibacterales; Candidatus Pelagibacteraceae
Description: bacterial SSU rRNA
Rfam family: Bacterial small subunit ribosomal RNA
Source: RNAcentral